Molecule: ribosomal RNA, 507 nt
Filed under: uncultured Glomus
Lineage: Eukaryota; Fungi; Glomeromycota; Glomeromycetes; Glomerales; Glomeraceae
Description: SSU rRNA
Rfam family: Eukaryotic small subunit ribosomal RNA
Source: RNAcentral
AGCAGCCGCGGUAAUUCCAGCUCCAAUAGCGUAUAUUAAAGUUGCUGCAGUUAAAAAGCUCGUAGUUGAAUUUCGGGACCAUCAUGUCGGUCGUGCCUCGGUACGUACUGGCAUUGUUGGUUUCUACCUUCUGACGAACCAUGAUGUCAUUUAUUUGGUGUCGUGGGAAAUCAGGACUGUUACUUUGAAAAAAUUAGAGUGUUUAAAGCAGGCUCACGCUUGAAUACAUUAGCAUGGAAUAAUGAAAUAGGACGUUUGAUUCUAUUUUGUUGGUUUCUAGGAUCGACGUAAUGAUUAAUAGGGAUAGUUGGGGGCAUUAGUAUUCAAUUGUCGGAGGUGAAAUUCUUGGAUUUAUUGAAGACUAACUACUGCGAAAGCAUUUGCCAAGGAUGUUUUCAUUAAUCAAGAACGAAAGUUAGGGGAUCGAAGACGAUCAGAUACCGUCGUAGUCUUAACCAUAAACUAUGCCGACUAGGGAUCGGAUGAUGUUAAUUUUUUAAUGACUCA